RNAcentral lists this long non-coding RNA (294 nucleotides) under Mytilus galloprovincialis (Mediterranean mussel). The record is from RNAcentral. Lineage: Eukaryota; Metazoa; Mollusca; Bivalvia; Mytilida; Mytilidae.
UUCUUAUUAAGUCUUUCCACUUUUCUGUGGAAAGACUUAUUGUUUUUGUUCUGAUUAUUAAGUCUUUCCACUUUUCUGUGGAAAGACUUAUUGUUUUUGUUCUGAUUAUUAUUAUUAGGUCUUUCCACUUUUCUGUGGAAAGACCUAUUGUUUUUCUUCUGAUUAUUUUUUUUUUCUUCCGCCUAAUUUUGUUCUUGCGAUAAACAUUUGUUUCGCAAUAUGUCGCUUAGAUAUUUUGUAUAUGAUAUCGAACAGUUUAUGCGCUUUUGAAAUUUACCCUGCGUAAACAAAUAC